UGUUAGAGUGAGAUGAAAGUAAAUACAGUUGAAUGUCCCGCAAAACUAAAGAAAAAGCAAAAAUAAAUAAUCUCACUCAGUGUUAAGUGCAAGUGUUUGUGUCGAUGGUCAUUAUGACGGCAAGGAGAGCCAGGCGGGUUCGGCAAAAGUGAGUGAAGUGCAAGAGUGAGUUGAGAGAAAAACAGUUGAAUGUCCCACAAAACUAAAGAAAGAGAGGAAAUAAAUAAUCUCACUCAAUAUAAGGUGCAAGUGUUGUCGAUGGUCAUUAUGAUGGCAAGGAGAGCCAGGCGGUUACGGCUAAAGUGAGUGAAGUGUUAGAGUGAAUUGAGAGAAAAACAGUUGAAUGUACCGCAAAACUAAAGAAAGAGCGGAAAUAAAUAAUCUCACUCAGUGUUAAGUGCAAGUGUUUGUGUCGAUGGUCAUUAUGACGGCAAGGAGAGCCAGGCGGUUACGGCUAAAGUGAGUGAAGUGCAAGAGUGAAUUGUGAGAAAAACAGUUGAAUGUCCCACAAAACUAAAGAAAGAGCGGAAAUAAAUAAUCUCACUCAGUGUUAAGUGCAAGUGUUUGUGUCGAUGGUCAUUAUGACGGCAAGGAGAGCCAGGCGGUUACGGCUAAAGUGAGUGAAGUGCAAGAGUGAGUUGAGAGAAAAACAGUUGAAUGUCCCACAAAACUAAAGAAAGAGCGGAAAUAAAUAAUCUCACUCAGUGUUAAGUGCAAGUGUUUGUGUCGAUGGUCAUUAUGACGGCAAGGAGAGCCAGGCGGGUUCGGCAAAAGUGAGUGAAGUGCAAGAGUGAGUUGAGAGAAAAACAGUUGAAUGUCCCACAAAACUAAAGAAAGAGAGGAAAUAAAUAAUCUCACUCAAUAUAAGGUGCAAGUGUUGUCGAUGGUCAUUAUGAUGUCAAGGAGAGCCAGGCGGUUACGGCUAAAGUGAGUGAAGUGCAAGAGUGAAUUGAGAGAAAAACAGUUGAAUAUACCGCAAAACUAAAGAAAGAGCGGAAAUAAAUAAUCUCACUCAGUGUUAAGUGCAAGUGUUUGUGUCGAUGGUCAUUAUGACGGCAAGGAGAGCCAGGCGGGUUCGGCAAAAGUGAGUGAAGUGCAAGAGUGAAUUGAGAGAAAAACAGUUGAAUGUCCCACAAAACUAAAGAAAGAGCGGAAAUAAAUAAUCUCACUCAGUGUUAAGUGCAAGUGUUUGUGUCGAUGGUCAUUAUGACGGCAAGGAGAGCCAGGCGGUUACGGCUAAAGUGAGUGAAGUGCAAGAGUGAAUUGAGAGAAAAACAGUUGAAUGUACCGCAAAACUAAAGAAAGAGCGGAAAUAAAUAAUCUCACUCAGUGUUAAGUGCAAGCGUUUGUGUCGAUGGUCAUUAUGACGGCAAGGAGAGCCAGGCGGUUACGGCUAAAGUGAGUGAAGUGUUAGAGUGAAUUGAGAGAAAAACAGUUGAAUGUCCCACAAAACUAAAGAAAGAGCGGAAAUAAAUAAUCUCACUCAGUGUUAAGUGCAAGUGUUUGUGUCGAUGGUCAUUAUGACGGCAAGGAGAGCCAGGCGGUUACGGCUAAAGUGAGUGAAGUGUUAGAGUGAAUUGAGAGAAAAACAGUUGAAUGUCCCACAAAACUAAAGAAAGAGCGGAAAUAAAUAAUCUCACUCAGUGUUAAGUGCAAGUGUUUGUGUCGAUGGUCAUUAUGACGGCAAGGAGAGCCAUGCGGUUGCGGCUCAAG
RNAcentral lists this long non-coding RNA (1713 nucleotides) under Drosophila guanche. Lineage: Eukaryota; Metazoa; Arthropoda; Insecta; Diptera; Drosophilidae. The record is from RNAcentral.